AAAAAGGCAAACCAUGAGUUUCCGUGUCCAACUUUAACUGUCCGUCUUAUAUGAAAUUUUUUUAUAAUUCAUAUUUUUAUUGUUAUUAGAUGAUAAAACAUGAUUAAUAUUUUAUGCGUGACUUGUCUUUUUAAUUUUUUUCAUAAUUUUUUUAAAUAAGACGGACGGUCAAACGUUAGGCACGGAAACCAGGGUUUGUCUUUUU
Oryza sativa Indica Group (long-grained rice) is the source of this 205-nucleotide microRNA precursor. It matches the Rfam family "MIR812 microRNA precursor family". NCBI's taxonomy places the organism in Eukaryota, Viridiplantae, Streptophyta, Magnoliopsida, Poales, Poaceae. The record is from Rfam.